RNAcentral lists this transfer RNA (62 nucleotides) under Dactylogyrus lamellatus. Its description in RNAcentral is "tRNA-Lys". The record is from RNAcentral. Lineage: Eukaryota; Metazoa; Platyhelminthes; Monogenea; Dactylogyridea; Dactylogyridae.
UUCGCUAUAGCUUAUGUAAAGCACCGGAUUCUUACUCCGGGGAAGUUUUUAAACUAGCGUUA